GAGGAUAGAGGAGGGAAGGUAGAGGAUAGAGGAGGAGGAGGGAAGGUAGAGGAUAGAGGAGGAGGAGGGAAGAUAGAGGAUAGAGGAGGGCAGGUAGAGGAUAGAGUAGGAGGAGGGAAGGUAGAGGAUAGAGGAGGAGGAGGGAAGGUAGAGAAUAGAGGAGGAGCAGGGCAGGUAGAGGAUAGAGGAGGAGCAGGGCAGGUAGAGGAUAGAGGAGGAGGAGGGAAGGUAGAGGAUAGAGGAGGGAAGGUAGAGGAUAGAGUAGGGAAGGUAGAGGAUAGAGGAGGGAAAGUAGAGGAUAGAGGGAAAGUAAAGGACAGAGGGGGGAAGGUAGAGGACAGAGGAGGGAAGGUAGAGGACAGAGGAGGGAAGGUAGAGGAUAGAGGAGGGCAGGUAGAGGAUAGAGGAGGAGGAGGGAAGGUAGAGGAUAGAGUAGGGAAGGUAGAGGAUAGAGGAGGGAAGGCAGAGGAUAGAGGAGGAGGAGAGAAGGUAGAGGAUAGAGGAUGAGGAGGGAAGGUAGAGGAUAGAGGAGGGAAGGUAGAGGAUAGAGGAGGGAAGGUAGAGGAUAGAGGAGGGAAGGUAGAGGAUAGAGGAGGGAAGGUAGAGGAUAGAGGAGGGCAGGUAGAGGAUAGAGGAGGGCAGGUAGAGGAGGAGGAGGGAAGGUAGAUGAUAGAGAAAGAGGAGUGAAGGCAAAGUAUAGAGUAUUAUGAGGGAAGUUAGAGGAUAGAGGAGGGAAGGUAGAGGAUAGAGUAGGAGGAGGGAAGGUAGAGGAUGGAGUAGGAGGAGGGAAGGUAGAUGAUAGAGUAGGAGGAGGGAAGGUAGAGGAUAGAGUAGG
This is a long non-coding RNA of Oncorhynchus keta (chum salmon), 835 nucleotides long. RefSeq lists it as uncharacterized. NCBI's taxonomy places the organism in Eukaryota, Metazoa, Chordata, Actinopteri, Salmoniformes, Salmonidae. The transcript has 3 exons. The record is from RefSeq and is a predicted model, not a curated record.